RNAcentral lists this ribosomal RNA (253 nucleotides) under uncultured bacterium. RNAcentral's name for it is "partial 16S ribosomal RNA". It matches the Rfam family "Bacterial small subunit ribosomal RNA", at positions 524 to 776 of the family's 1533-position model. The record is from RNAcentral.
UACGUAGGGGGCAAGCGUUAUCCGGAUUUACUGGGUGUAAAGGGAGCGUAGACGGCUUUGCAAGCCAGAUGUGAAAGCCCGGGGCUCAACCCCGGGACUGCAUUUGGAACUGUGUGGCUAGAGUGUCGGAGAGGCAGGCGGAAUUCCUAGUGUAGCGGUGAAAUGCGUAGAUAUUGGGAGGAACACCAGUGGCGAAGGCGGCCUGCUGGACGAUGACUGACGUUGAGGCUCGAAAGCGUGGGGAGCAAACAGG